This 253-nucleotide ribosomal RNA is filed under the name uncultured bacterium. RNAcentral's name for it is "partial 16S ribosomal RNA". It matches the Rfam family "Bacterial small subunit ribosomal RNA", at positions 524 to 776 of the family's 1533-position model. The record is from RNAcentral.
UACGGAGGGUGCAAACGUUGCUCGGAAUCAUUGGGCGUAAAGCGCACGUAGGCGGUCCAGCAAGUCGGGGGUGAAAGCCCGAGGCUCAACCUCGGAACUGCCUUCGAUACUGCGGGUCUCGAGUCCGGGAGAGGUGAGUGGAAUUCCUAGUGUAGAGGUGAAAUUCGUAGAUAUUAGGAAGAACACCAGUGGCGAAGGCGGCUCACUGGCCCGGUACUGACGCUGAGGCGCGAAAGCGUGGGGAGCAAACAGG